Molecule: ribosomal RNA, 485 nt
Filed under: uncultured archaeon
Lineage: Archaea
Description: bacterial SSU rRNA
Rfam family: Archaeal small subunit ribosomal RNA
Source: RNAcentral
CGAGUGCUCGCAUCAAAUGCGGGCUGUCCGCUUACUUAAAUCGUAAGCGUUAGCAAGGGCCGGGCAAGACCGGUGCCAGCCGCCGCGGUAAUACCGGUGGCCCGAGUGGUAGCCGCUUUUAUUGGGUCUAAAGGGUCCGUAGCCGGUUCGGUCAGUCCAUUGGGAAAUCCGGAUGCUCAACAUCCGGGCUUCCAGUGGAUACUGCCGAACUUGGGAUCGGGGGAGGUAAGAGGUACUAUAGGGGUAGGAGUGAAAUCUUGUAAUCCCUGUGGGACCACCUGUGGCGAAGGCGUCUUACCAAAACGAGUCCGACGGUGAGGGACGAAAGCUGGGGGCACGAACCGGAUUAGAUACCCGGGUAGUCCCAGCCGUAAACGAUGCUCGCUAGGUGUCAGGCAUGGCGUGACUGUGUUUGGUGCCGAAGGGAAGCCGUGAAGCGAGCCACCUGGGAAGUACGGCCGCAAGGCUGAAACUUAAAGGAAUUG